RNAcentral lists this ribosomal RNA (330 nucleotides) under uncultured eukaryote. RNAcentral describes it as "partial 18S ribosomal RNA". It matches the Rfam family "Eukaryotic small subunit ribosomal RNA", at positions 1470 to 1796 of the family's 1831-position model. The record is from RNAcentral.
CCCUUAGAUGUUCGGGGCCGCACGCGCGCUACACUGAAGGAAUCAGCACGUCUUUCUCCUUGUCCGAAAGGACUGAGUAACCCGCUGAACCUCCUUCGUGCUAGGGAUUGGGGCUUGUAAUUCUUCCCCAUGAACGAGGAAUUCCCAGUAAGCGCGAGUCAUAAGCUCGCGUUGAUUACGUCCCUGCCCUUUGUACACACCGCCCGUCGCUACUACCGAUUGGAUGGUUUAGUGAGAUCCUCGGAUUGGUCCCGGAGCGGCCUCUGGUCGUGCCGGAGUGCCGAAAAGAAUGUCGAACUUGAUCAUCUAGAGGAAGUAAAAGUCGUAACA